Molecule: unclassified non-coding RNA, 188 nt
Filed under: uncultured Dothideomycetes
Lineage: Eukaryota; Fungi; Ascomycota; Dothideomycetes
Description: sequence contains ITS1
Source: RNAcentral
CCAGGCCUUGGGCCGCCAGCGGGGUCCCGUCGUUCUCGCGACGACGGGCCCUCGCGGGUGCUUAGCCCUUGACUCUUACCUUGACUAUGCGCACCUUUGUUGUUCCCUCGGCAGGUUUCCUGCCGCCAGGGACCCCAUCAACCCUUUAGCAUAAGCAUAAAACGUCUGAAAACAAAUUUAAUUAUUUA